CAGGCUUAACACAUGCAAGUCGAGGGGCAGCAUGGUCUUAGCUUGCUAAGACUGAUGGCGACCGGCGCACGGGUGAGUAACACGUAUCCAACCUGCCGUCUACUCUUGGACAGCCUUCUGAAAGGAAGAUUAAUACAAGAUGGCAUCAUGAGUCCGCAUGUUCACAUGAUUAAAGGUAUUCCGGUAGACGAUGGGGAUGCGUUCCAUUAGAUAGUAGGCGGGGUAACGGCCCACCUAGUCUUCGAUGGAUAGGGGUUCUGAGAGGAAGGUCCCCCACAUUGGAACUGAGACACGGUCCAAACUCCUACGGGAGGCAGCAGUGAGGAAUAUUGGUCAAUGGGCGAGAGCCUGAACCAGCCAAGUAGCGUGAAGGAUGACUGCCCUAUGGGUUGUAAACUUCUUUUAUAAAGGAAUAAAGUCGGGUAUGGAUACCCGUUUGCAUGUACUUUAUGAAUAAGGAUCGGCUAACUCCGUGCCAGCAGCCGCGGUAAUACGGAGGAUCCGAGCGUUAUCCGGAUUUAUUGGGUUUAAAGGGAGCGUAGAUGGAUGUUUAAGUCAGUUGUGAAAGUUUGCGGCUCAACCGUAAAAUUGCAGUUGAUACUGGAUAUCUUGAGUGCAGUUGAGGCAGGCGGAAUUCGUGGUGUAGCGGUGAAAUGCUUAGAUAUCACGAAGAACUCCGAUUGCGAAGGCAGCCUGCUAAGCUGCAACUGACAUUGAGGCUCGAAAGUGUGGGUAUCAAACAGGAUUAGAUACCCUGGUAGUCCACACGGUAAACGAUGAAUACUCGCUGUUUGCGAUAUACUGCAAGCGGCCAAGCGAAAGCGUUAAGUAUUCCACCUGGGGAGUACGCCGGCAACGGUGAAACUCAAAGGAAUUGACGGGGGCCCGCACAAGCGGAGGAACAUGUGGUUUAAUUCGAUGAUACGCGAGGAACCUUACCCGGGCUUAAAUUGCAGAUGAAUUACGGUGAAAGCCGUAAGCCGCAAGGCAUCUGUGAAGGUGCUGCAUGGUUGUCGUCAGCUCGUGCCGUGAGGUGUCGGCUUAAGUGCCAUAACGAGCGCAACCCUUGUUGUCAGUUACUAACAGGUUCCGCUGAGGACUCUGACAAGACUGCCAUCGUAAGAUGUGAGGAAGGUGGGGAUGACGUCAAAUCAGCACGGCCCUUACGUCCGGGGCUACACACGUGUUACAAUGGGGGGUACAGAGGGCCGCUACCACGCGAGUGGAUGCCAAUCCCCAAAACCUCUCUCAGUUCGGACUGGAGUCUGCAACCCGACUCCACGAAGCUGGAUUCGCUAGUAAUCGCGCAUCAGCCACGGCGCGGUGAAUACGUUCCCGGGCCUUGUACACACCGCCCGUCAAGCCAUGGGAGCCGGGGGUACCUGAAGUGCGUAACCACGAGGAGCGCCCUAGGGUAAAACUGGUGACUGG
RNAcentral lists this ribosomal RNA (1431 nucleotides) under uncultured organism. RNAcentral describes it as "16S ribosomal RNA". It matches the Rfam family "Bacterial small subunit ribosomal RNA". The record is from RNAcentral.